RNAcentral lists this non-coding RNA (45 nucleotides) under Trichobilharzia regenti. The record is from RNAcentral. Lineage: Eukaryota; Metazoa; Platyhelminthes; Trematoda; Strigeidida; Schistosomatidae.
AUCCAGGUGUCGAGUCCUAAAUAGGACGAAAUGCGCAUCCUGGAU